AGAGUUUGAUCCUGGCUCAGAACGAACGCUGGCGGCGCGCCUAACACAUGCAAGUCGAACGCGAAAGGGGGCAACCCUGAGUAAAGUGGCGCACGGGUGAGUAACGCGUAGGUGAUCUACCUCUGCGACCGGGAUAACCAGCCGAAAGGUUGGCUAAUACUGGAUAGAGCGCAGACCAUGUAAGGUGGUUUGCGGGAAAG
RNAcentral lists this ribosomal RNA (200 nucleotides) under uncultured bacterium. RNAcentral describes it as "partial 16S ribosomal RNA". It matches the Rfam family "Bacterial small subunit ribosomal RNA", at positions 8 to 206 of the family's 1533-position model. The record is from RNAcentral.